GAGAGGCAGGUGCGGAGCCGCAGCCGGGACUCGCCAAAGUCUGGAAGGGGAGCUCGGACCUGCCUCUGCCGCUCCUCGGCUGGCCCCGGCGCGCGGGACAGGAUCCCAAAUUGGUUUACAAACGAUGGGUUAAACCUUAUAGUCACCCUCCGUGCUGAGGAAGCCUGUCACGCUGUGCGAAAGGUGGUAUUGUACAGCCAUGGAGGAUUCGACUAUCAGUCUGGUUCUUAAAGGAGUCAGCCUUCUGUGGGAAAAGAGAGGACCCUGCAAUAAGGAUGGGGGAUUCCUGAGUUCAUGCAUUUGACCCCUGUUUUCCUAUGCAUCUAUGGGGUUUGCAGGCUUGGCUUCUACCGCACCUGGUAGUAAACUACUCCCACUGGAGCAGAGAGAUGAUGUGGAAUAAACUCCAUGAGCAGAACCCC
Molecule: long non-coding RNA, 422 nt
Organism: Chrysemys picta bellii (western painted turtle)
Lineage: Eukaryota; Metazoa; Chordata; Testudines; Emydidae
Source: RefSeq, a predicted model, not a curated record